Long non-coding RNA from Hemicordylus capensis (graceful crag lizard), 1498 nucleotides. RefSeq lists it as uncharacterized. The transcript has 3 exons. The record is from RefSeq and is a predicted model, not a curated record. NCBI's taxonomy places the organism in Eukaryota, Metazoa, Chordata, Lepidosauria, Squamata, Cordylidae.
AGACAGUGAGCCCUUUGGGGACAAAGAGCCCAAACUUCAGUAUCAGCAUCCAGAACUAUAGCAAACUGUUGCUGUGUCCAUUCUGAAAACUCCAAAUUGUUGCAAUGUGAAAAGAAGACAUAAUCCUUGUGGGAGCAGGUCCAGGAUAACAGCAGCAAACUAACAAGCCACCAUGUGUUCGCAGCUGUUUAUCAUGGGGGAAACUGUAUAUCCUAUCCCAUCAAUUAAGAUAUACAAGAUAUGCCCACCCAUCAGAACUUCAACAUCUGCUGUGAUUCUGUCCUCACUCCCGACCUUGGUCUGCAGAAUGUCCAUCUGAAUCAAGAGGUAUCUCUGUUCAUAGCUGCUUACAAGAUUCUAUUUGAAGGCAGUCAAUCAGAAUCAAAUGAAGCGGGCAACAGCAUCGCAGAAAGAAUAAACAUAUGCAGAAGAAGAAGAUAACAUGGAGUGUAAGCAGAAGACCAAAGCUUUUUAAUAAUGAAGGAUAUGAGGCUGGAAGACAAGCUAGCUGAAUCUGUUUGCUUACCUGUUGGAUUCUUCAUUGUCCUUGCUACAACUGAUUACUCUUCUGGGAUUUAGAAACUGGAUACUGUUCCUUGUGGUGGCCACAGACCCUCCUCAUCCCAUUUGAGACUGUUGCCUGGCCGGAUGGUAGCUGGAAUAUCUGACAUUUGUGGAUCCAGUUUUGGUCCUCUUGUAAACACAGUAUUACAAGCACAAUUUUUGAGUUAGCUGUUUAGAGUCUAGUUGAACUCAAACACUGCUACAGUGAAAUGCUGAACACAUCAAGGUCAGAAUGUUUUCAAAACUGAAUUCCCCUGAUAAUAUUUUCAUUUUCAUCAAAGUGGCUCAAAAGAGGAAUUUUGAAUGCAGAUUUGCCAGUAUGGCUUCUUCCUUACCAGCUGUUCUCUUCCAUUUACCCCAACAGCUGUUGCUUGCUAGAGCAUUCAGGGAUGGGCAGAAGCAAACUGCACAGAAGUUCUAUACAAGCUGCAUGGAAGCAUCUUUCAUGCAAGGCAUGAGAAUGAGAGAGAAGGAAAGUACAUAUCCUGUAGAAUACCCUCUAAGGACCCAUGUCCAUACACACUCUUACAGUGUGGGAUAUAUUUGCCAUAUGCUAAGAGUCAAGGCCUACUCAUACUUCUGUAAGCAACUGCCUAUAGAUAAUUUACCGUGAGGUUGUUCAUGUGAUUGGGCGGGCGGCAUGGUGGGCAGGCUUGUUUUAUUCUCUUCCCCCCCAGAUGAGCGAGUUCUUGUUUUGGAAGCGCAGACUGCGCUCCCAUACAAGCAGUGCUGCGUGGUGCAGUGCGCAGCUCCGGAAGCUGGGACAAUGCGCCCCGGCCUUCGGGAAUGUCACAAUGCACUGCACGACAUGCACAAUGCACUGGGGGAUUCCCCCAAGAAAUGGGCUCUCUAGCCGCCCGUCUCUGUGUGCAGCUGGGCUGGAAACAGCCUGUGCUCACACACGAGCAGGUAGCCCGGGUUAAGGGAGUGCUUG